Long non-coding RNA from Phasianus colchicus (ring-necked pheasant), 2445 nucleotides. The record is from Ensembl. NCBI's taxonomy places the organism in Eukaryota, Metazoa, Chordata, Aves, Galliformes, Phasianidae.
GUCAGCUUUUAAAUGGGUCUAGGAGAGGUGGAGCCAGACUCCACCCCUUCCUGGUAGCACAGGUGAAUUGCCUUCACCUGUGCUCCUGUGGCUGACUCAUUGCUCACCUCAGGUGGUCAAUCAGAGGUUUGGGCUGUGAUUCAGCAGUUUCCAUACUCCUGUGUAUAAAAAUCUGUUUCUAGGGAACUAAUCUUUAGCUCUGUCUGUGAAAUGCCAUAGAAAAGCCAUGAUGUGCUCAGAGUGAGGGGAAAAUCAAUGUUGCUGACAUACCAAUGUUCAUAGCUUCUGUGAAGCAGUGCUGUACAGAGCCAAGGCCAUUCUCAAUGAAGAACCCAAGAAACUGGGAGGGAGCAGAAUUAGGAGAGGGGGAGCGAGCAAAUGACUACAUGGUGCUGAGCCACCUGCCAGAUAAACCACAACAGUCCUCCUUAGAUUUGCAGACCAUCCUGCAUGCACUGAUCAGCAUUCCAGAAGCCUGGCCUUGUCUUACCAACAUUCCUGAAAAUGCCACUGUUGCUGAUUUAAUGCUAGGGCUGGGAAUUCUUCAUAACUCAUCUGACUUCACUCCUUUCCCCAGAGCCGGUGCAGAGCAUUGCUGUGCUGAUGGAGCAUCUGCACGAGGCUGUAGUUUCCCCAGUGUCCCAGGAUGGGUCCAAGGCACUCAGAGGUGGUGAGGAAAGACAAAUUGUGCAGCGUUGCCAAAUGAGGGGAAAUAAGGAAGAAACCACUUGUGCUUGAGGAUGAUGCUAUGGAACAGGAAGAUCCCCUCUUCCCCUCCUCCCCAGUCCUCCCUGCCUCCCACAGCUCCUCAGCCUUUUGACCCUCUGGAAAAUGGCUUCAACUCUCCAGCCUUAGAAGCAUUUAUCAUAUUUUCUGCUGUGUCAGUUUUUCUGCUAGCUUAGUGAUUUGAAGCCGUUUGGGAGAAUGGCAGCAAGAGGGCAGGAUGUGCAGGAGGAGGAGGGAAGAGAAGGGAAAACGGGCUUAAACAGAGAGAUACACAACCUCUUAUUCCUAUUUUACUGGUGUGUGGGGGCACUGGCCAGAUAAUGAGCCAUUGAGUGUCAAUGUCUUGAUGAGGCACUCGGGAAGUAGCUCUUAAGCAAAUAAUGUAUAUUUGUAUAUAUUCACAGACAUACACACAAAUACAUAGACACUCCAAAGCCUGUGAGCUGCAGCAGCCCCUUGGAUACACCGAGAGCUUUUUCAUCUGGAAGAGGAUCUGGGGGCAGCUGGUUGGUUUGCUUCUUUUCCUGGACAGCCCCAGCACCAGCUGCUGCUGCCAGAGCUUGGGGAGAGGGAUGUAAAGGACUGAAGGGCUCUAGUCUGUUAAUUUAUUGGAAUGAAUAUAAAUUAAUGCUUUUCUUUAGCUUGCAGUUAUUAAAGGCCAGGAGGACUCAUGACCGUGCUCUUUUAUCACUGGUGACAAUAAUGCAUUAAUCACCCUUGAUGGUUCCUAUGGCCCUGUUACAGGUGAGGGAAGCAGACACAAAGGCUGGGUGAAGGCAAACAAUCACACACUCUCCAGCUGCUCCAGGCACAACCCAACCAGUCUGGGGGACUCCAGGUAAUUCUAAUGUUAUGAAUCUGCUCCCAUGACAGAGGUGCUGAACUGCUGUGCCACAUAUAAGAUCACUGAAUUGUCCUUCCCAUCUUCUCACGAAAGACUAAUCUUCACUGCCAUGGCUGCAUAGAGCUUUUUCCCCAUGAAAACUGGAGGAAAUAUGACAAAAAAAAAGGUGAAGAAUUUGAAGCAGGAUUAGAGUAUGGCACUCGCUGGCCAAUCCUAUAAGCACUAAAAUGCUUCACCAGUUUAAUGUCAUUUCAGAGGGUAAUCCUCAGCCAGCCUUGUCUAGAGACACUAGCAGGCUGCUUUGGCACUCAGCGGUGCAAAUCAUUGAGUUGCACAGUGAAGUACAAGGCGAAGGAAUGAUGAAGUGCUUUCAUGUACCUAUUUCACCUGACCUUAACACCCUGGCUCCUUCAUAAAGUGAAUUCUGCUCCAUUACAGUAGUCCGAGUCCUUUGAAGUCAAUGGAGUUGUGUUAAAUUAACAGCUAUACCUUAGUUUGAUGAUCUUGUACAGCAGUGAGCCGAAAUUAUGUUUUGGUACAUCUCAAUGAUACUUUUGGGAUAGUCUGACCUCUGCAUCACUCCUUGAGUGAACAAGGGGAUAUUUUCAGAUUUUGUCAGUCUUUGCUUUUGCCACACUUCUUCAAGAGAGAUAAGUAAGCAGUGAGACAAAUAUAUAGACAGAUUACUACUCCUGAUCUCUGCAUCACUCCUUGAGUAAUCCUCCCAAAAGAUAAAAGAACAUUUUAGGAAAGCCACAUACAUAGAAAAUAGAGCUGAACUUGUAGAACUGAAUGUACAAACAUACUCCCACCUGUCCAAGGGUCAAAGAGUUACUGGGACAGAUGUAAUAAAAGAGCUGCAACAAGGAAAUUCA